RNAcentral lists this long non-coding RNA (327 nucleotides) under Olea europaea subsp. europaea. The record is from RNAcentral. Lineage: Eukaryota; Viridiplantae; Streptophyta; Magnoliopsida; Lamiales; Oleaceae.
UUGCCGGAAAAUGUUAUAGCGGAGAUCUUCUCAAGACUUCCCGUCAAAACGCUUAUCCGAUUAAAAUGCGUAUGUACCCAAUGGAGUUCCUUAAUCUCGAAUCCUUUCUUCGCCUCUUUGCACCUCAGCCGCUCCGUUUCCAACCCUACAAGACACUCAAUUCUUGUUCACGAACUACGCCGCCAAAACAGACAUAUUUCGCUCGACCCCCACCUCAAUCUUGGAUUUGAUCUGACUUACCCUUUCGGCCCGGGAAUAAUUUAUGUGGGCUCAAUCAAUGGCUUGGUUGUUGAGAAAAAUGUAAGAAAAUCUGAAAAUUUAAUGAAU